AGGCGACACGGGGAAACUGCUA
Molecule: non-coding RNA, 22 nt
Filed under: Arabidopsis thaliana (thale cress)
Lineage: Eukaryota; Viridiplantae; Streptophyta; Magnoliopsida; Brassicales; Brassicaceae
Source: RNAcentral